RNAcentral lists this ribosomal RNA (490 nucleotides) under uncultured bacterium. Its description in RNAcentral is "bacterial SSU rRNA". It matches the Rfam family "Bacterial small subunit ribosomal RNA", at positions 224 to 711 of the family's 1533-position model. The record is from RNAcentral.
GAUGAGCAUGCGUCCCAUUAGCUAGUUGGUAAGGUAACGGCUUACCAAGGCUACGAUGGGUAGGGGUCCUGAGAGGGAGAUCCCCCACACUGGUACUGAGACACGGACCAGACUCCUACGGGAGGCAGCAGUGAGGAAUAUUGGACAAUGGGCGCAAGCCUGAUCCAGCCAUGCCGCGUGCAGGAUGACGGUCCUAUGGAUUGUAAACUGCUUUUAUACGAGAAGAAACACUCCUUCGUGAAGGAGCUUGACGGUAUCGUAAGAAUAAGGAUCGGCUAACUCCGUGCCAGCAGCCGCGGUAAUACGGAGGAUCCAAGCGUUAUCCGGAAUCAUUGGGUUUAAAGGGUCCGUAGGCGGUUUAAUAAGUCAGUGGUGAAAGCCCAUCGCUCAACGGUGGAACGGCCAUUGAUACUGUUAGACUUGAAUUAUUAGGAAGUAACUAGAAUAUGUAGUGUAGCGGUGAAAUGCUUAGAGAUUACAUGGAAUACCA